RNAcentral lists this ribosomal RNA (707 nucleotides) under uncultured bacterium. RNAcentral's name for it is "bacterial SSU rRNA". It matches the Rfam family "Bacterial small subunit ribosomal RNA", at positions 59 to 742 of the family's 1533-position model. The record is from RNAcentral.
CAGUCGGACGAGAAAGGCUGAUUUCGGUUGGCCGAGUAAAGUGGCGCACGGGUGAGUAACGCGUAGGCAACCUACCCUUGUAUUGGGGAUAACCCUGCGAAAGUGGGGCUAAUACCGGAUGAGACCCUAUUCUGGAGGGGAUAGGGUGAAAGUCGGCCGCUCGGAGAAGCUGACGUACGAGGAUGGGCCUGCGUCCUAUCAGCUGGUUGGUGGGGUAGCGGCCUACCAAGGCGACGACGGGUAGCUGGUCUGAGAGGAUGAUCAGCCACACUGGCACUGGAACACGGGCCAGACUCCUACGGGAGGCAGCAGUGAGGAAUUUUGCGCAAUGGCCGCAAGGCUGACGCAGCAACGCCGCGUGGGUGAUGAAGGCCUUCGGGUCGUAAAGCCCUGUCAGGUGGGAAGAAAGGCCUGGAGAGGAAAGGUUUCAGGUUUGACGGUACCACCAGAGGAAGCACCGGCUAACUCCGUGCCAGCAGCCGCGGUAAUACGGAGGGUGCGAGCGUUAUUCGGAAUUACUGGGCGUAAAGCGCGUGUAGGCGGGGGGACAAGUCUGAUGUGAAAGCCCUGGGCUUAACCUGGGAAGCGCAUUGGAAACCGUUUUUCUUGAGUACUGGAGAGGAAGGGGGAAUUCCCGGUGUAGAGGUGAAAUUCGUAGAGAUCGGGAGGAAUACCAGUGGCGUAGGCGCCCUUCUGGACGGUAACUG